GGGGCCUGUCAGGGCUGGGGGCGGGGCGUGCCGUGCCCGAGGCCUCCGCCCGCCCGCCUCUCCCGGUCAGGCCGCGCGGCGCAGCCGCUGCUGUGAGCGAGCGCGGGCCGGGCGGUGCUAACGGCCCGGAGCUGCCCGGUACGUCCGGGUGGGGCGUGAGUGUUCAAACGGGAGCGCAGUACGAACCCGCAUCUCAGCCAGGUAUUCCUUCAUGAAGUUUCUCUUCAGGGAACAGAAGUUCAAUCUAUUCAGCACCCCUUCUUUUACAUGACCUACUUUAAACCUGAUACAAUGCAGCAUGCUCAGAGAGGACAAUGUUAUUGUUGUUGGCUCUAACACGUCAAAACAACAGUCUUGAAAACUUGUGUCUAAAGAUGUGAUGUCACUAUGUUGACAGCAGAGCGGAGAUGAAGCAUCCUGGUGGAAGCCUUUGAUUUCUCUGCACCCUCUACUGCCUGAAACAGCGCUGCGGGUCCUCACACCUCUCUGAGUCGAUCCUUCCCUUUCCGGAGGUACUACAGCUGUUAGUAUUAUUUCCUAAGACAGUGUGUUUAUCUUGUGAGGAUGUGAAAGGGGAAAAGAUGGGAAACAGUUUUUCUGUGCACUUUAUUGUCAUCCACUGAAGAGCGUUCCCUGAAAUGAAAGUGAACCCUCCGCCAGGUCAGUAUUCCCUUUGCAUGCUGCACUCAGGUGCGUGUCACAGAGAGUGUCCA
This 713-nucleotide long non-coding RNA is filed under the name Gallus gallus (chicken). RNAcentral's name for it is "long non-coding RNA NONGGAT003740". Lineage: Eukaryota; Metazoa; Chordata; Aves; Galliformes; Phasianidae. The record is from RNAcentral.